Long non-coding RNA from Ficedula albicollis (Collared flycatcher), 4003 nucleotides. RefSeq lists it as uncharacterized. Lineage: Eukaryota; Metazoa; Chordata; Aves; Passeriformes; Muscicapidae. The transcript has 2 exons. The record is from RefSeq and is a predicted model, not a curated record.
CUGUGAAUAUGAAGAAGAGCCUUACCAAAAAAACCUUAGAGACUGAAGACAUUCUCACAUUUGCAGAAGCAUAUAAGACACUAUUUACACAAAGGCAGUGAAAGGGGUAAAAAAUUAUUGCAGUCAAUUAAUGCUGAUAGAACUUUUUAUUAUAAAAAGAGAAAGAAGAGAAACAGUGCAAAAAUACUGUCAAAAGUAAUCAGUUCUAUACACAAGAUAAAACUGACAAGCAUAAGCUUAUGUACUGAUAUGAAUAAUACAUUAGAAUAUAAAAUAGCAUGCAUAGAUUUUUUUAAAGGCUUUCAAUAGCAUAGAAUAGUUCUGCCAUUCAGCCCUAACAGGAGGGGUUAGGGGCAGGAAGGGCACAUAACUGAUGUCUCAUUUCUCUACAAAAUGUGUAAAUACAAUGAGGUGGUGAGAUUCAGAUCAUUGUUUUGUGCUAAACUGACAGGUACAGAAUUACAGAACAAAUAAAACAGGAAGCAUCACAAUACUGAAGUAAAACAGGACAGUAAAAUCCAGUGACAUAAAACUUAAACAUGUUAUCUCAUUUAACACAUUCCACACAAUAACAUAUGGGAAUAUUACAGUCAUCUGCAUGUGUAAACUUUUUCCUUUGUAAAAUAACCACAGAAAGGUACUUUACUAGUGAGGAAAAUGUGUUUUCCAUAUAGAACAAUCUCAACAAGAUAAACAUCCUAUUACCGGUGUUUCUGGCAUUACAGAUUUGCUUUCUUUUCAAGACCAAGCAGAAGCAAGAAAACACUUUUAUUUAGCAUACACAAAAAGGAAGUUCAUAUACAUUACGUCUAUAAGUUGUGGAACUCACCAGCACAGGACAUUGUGAAAGCCAGAGGAAUAAAUGGCUUCUAAAGAGAAGGUAAUGUGAUUCAUGGAAAACGGAUCCAUGGAUGGAUCAGUGAGCAGGAUAUCUUUGGCCUCAGGAAGCCCCUAAAGCACUGGUUGCCAGGUACACCAGAGAGGCUGAGCACCCUUUUCUAGACACAUCCCUAUUUCUUGCUCAACUACCAGCCACUGCCUAAGUCAGGGGGUGCCCCCCAGCCUGACACGGAAACCGUUUGUGGCAAACAUUCCUCUUUUCUGCCUCCCUGCCUAAUCAAGGAACACUGCCCCUGAAAUCACUGGAACUGGCUGUCCAACCACUGAGUCCUUACCCAGGUGAAUCAGUGGUAGUCCUUCCCUUGCUGUUAUAUAGUGCUGGAAUUCUCCAGUGGAAGCUCCUGUUUAUCACUGAUUUCCAGUUCACUCUCUGAAGGCGAAGUCCUGGUGUUACAGAGUGUGGGAAACUCUUGGUGAGGGUGCACAUAAAGCACAGGCAACCAAACUUCAGAGAAAUGCCAGCCAAAAAACAGCAGAGAGAAACCAAUGGAACUGUUAGCUAAAAUACUCCAAAAACACUGACUAAAUUUAUUUACUUUAAAUAUUUAUAUAAACACUGCUAUUUUUGACCUGUGCGCUGUUUUGUUUCACAAUCUAACAAUACUUUAUUUAUGGUUAAAACCUCCAUCUUGUUUGCCCCACAGCCAUCGGUUCCCUUCCUCAAAUCCCAAUCCCUGCAAGUAUCUGCAUGAGUAAUGUCCUUCUCUCUAAAGACUUAGAUGGCAUCUAUAGAUCCCUUAGCACCAGAUAGUACAAGAAAACCUCUCUAGAAGACUAAGAGCAAGCUGGGGACAAUUGCUUUUGGGGUUCUGGACUUGCAGCCUUUCUCUUACCAGCAUCAAAACCUAUCCCCAGCUCCGUAUGUCUUGAAGUAUACAUCAGCAGCUUUAUAGUUAUUUUGUAGAAGAGUGGUCAAAGGCUGUUUUCAUGCAGUCCUUCCUCUCAUGGCCAGCUCAGGAGUUUGCUCCUGCAAAUGUGAUGCAGCCUUUAUUUCCUGCAGUGGCUACCACCCUAGUGUUUUUUAUCCACCAAGAUAAGCAGCAAAAUUUAACUCAGACCUCCCUCAGUGAUGCAUGAGAGCUGCUACAGCAGAGAUCAGCCUGAUGAUUCCAGUUUCUGAGCACACAGACCACAAACUGUUAGCAGGCUGACAACAGCUAAUUCAGUCAUCAUCUCCUCCCAGGAGACCAGUGGGAAGUCGGCUGUUGGAAAUGCAGCAUUGUCAGUAGCUCUGCUGAAUUUUCCCUACAGAUUUCCGUGCUAUAUCCAAGUACAAGAUUGCCCAUCAACAUUUCUUUUAAGUUGCUUGUGGACUACACAGACAUAGCAGGUAUUGGAUAAAAGAAUUAUCCCGGCUGACAAUGACAAGCAUUAUUGAAGCACUUAGGUUGGAAAAGAAUUACUAUGUUUUUCCACUUGCAUUUCUGUUUGUUUACAAGAAAGUAAUUUUAAAAACCCCAGCUUUUGAAAUCAUGCAAAUAUUUAAUAAUAUUUGUACCUGAGGCAGCUGAUUUAAAUAAGUAGAACAGAAAUGCACUUCAAUAUACUUCAAGAACUGGCAAUAGGUUGAGUAAGUUCUCAGAGAUGUGUCUUCUGCCAGCUAAAAUUAGUUUGGGGAACCUCUGAUAAGGCUGAGCAUUUAGGAUCUCUGUAUGCCUUUACAUGACAAGGAAAAUGCUUGUGGGAACAAGCUUCAUCUUUCCCCAGGUAGUCAAGGACAAGAGGUGCAAAACAAGCCUUUGUAGGACCUGAAACAAGUAGGACCUGAGCAGCUGAUGCCCACCAUCCUCCAGUGUGACUGAUGGAGGACAGAAAGGAUCCCCACAGCACUGAGCAGCAUCACAACUCGGCUGUCAUCUCUCCCAUCCCUGCUCGAACAAUGGGAAGCGUGAAAUGCUCAGACCAUAACUUUAACCAAAAAGCUGAUGCCAUCACCUCAAUACUACAGUUGGUAAGAGUUUAAAUUUAAAAAGCAAAGGUUGUUAAAUACAGAUGAAGAGUGUACUAAAAGGAAAACAGACAUGCUCAAGCCAGACUAACUCAUCUGCUUAAGUUCUCUCUUGGAAAGCAUCUCACCCUGGGAGAAGACUGCUUGGGUCAAAAUUCCAUUCAUUGAUGAAUCAUUGUGAGAUUUUUCAAUCCAGACUUUACUCCAAAUGGGUGAAACUAGUCUCAAACUACUGUUAUACUUUGAUGUUAAAAAACAUGAACACAACAAACAGCAAUUCCAAACUGCCCUUUUCUCCUCAAGGGUUCUGCUGUUUAAAAGUCUGAGGGACAGAAACUAAACAGCGCUGUUGCUUUAAGGCUCAUGUGUUCAUUCCUGCUAUGACUAAGAAAAUUGGAUGCAAAAUGCAUUUUCCUGUCACUCCCUAAAGGUUAGGAAAUACUGCCCAAGCAAUUUUGGCCUGAUAAAACUACAACAGGUUCAAAGUGAGAAGGUUCAUUUUUUCCUUUACAAAACUGUAUCACAUUUCAACCAUAAAACAUCAGCAUGCUGAGGGCUGCUUGUAAGCUGGGGUGGAAAGGAACCUCUGAAGACAUGCACCAGCCCAAUUCACUUAUGAUAUUAACAGAUCUAGUCAAGAUAAAAUCUAGCAGGGAAAAAUACAUUGAAGUCAGAUGAAAGGAAAAGUUUAAAAUUACCAUUCUUUGACAAUGAAAGGGAAAAAGUGACUCACAUUGGCCUCUAUCUGCCAUACCAGCCACAUUAGGAGUUAAUUGGAAAUGACUGUUUACCACAUGGCCACUUAUUUGGCUCAUUAAUAGGCACUGACUUAAUUUGGAAAGGAUUUUUUGUGCCUUUUUCUAAUUAAUGUUUUUCUAAGACACCUAUGAUGCAUCUUUGCAUAAAAAAAACAUUUGCUUAAUUUUCUUCCCUUCAAACACAGCUCUUCACACUCUCUUAUGCAAUGACUUUCCUGUGCUCACUGUAGCAGCAGAAAUACACAUUUCAGCCAAGAGCAGCUGAAUAAUAAGACAUAAGAACAGAUUCUUUUCCCUCCUGAUUUUCUACUUCUCACAUCCAAGUGGAGCAAUGGGACUUGACAGCUCUGAGUUCAAACUUAAUUCAUCAUAAGGAAAUUAUUCAAAAAGUUAUAAC